AAGACCUUGCGCUUUUGGAGCGGCCGAUGUCUGAUUAGCUUGUUGGUGAGGUAAAAGCUUACCAAGGCUUCGAUCAGUAGCUGGUCUGAGAGGACGGCCAGCUACACUGGGACUGAGACACGGCCCAGACUCCUACGGGAGGCAGCAGUGGGGAAUUUUGGACAAUGGGGGCAACCCUGAUCCAGCCAUGCCGCGUGAGUGAAGAAGGCCUUCGGGUUGUAAAGCUCUUUCAGCCGGAACGAAACGGUUACGGUUAAUACCCGUGACUACUGACGGUACCGGAAGAAGAAGCACCGGCUAACUACGUGCCAGCAGCCGCGGUAAUACGUAGGGUGCAAGCGUUAAUCGGAAUUACUGGGCGUAAAGCGUGCGCAGGUGGUUUUGUAAGUCAGAUGUGAAAUCCCCGGGCUUAACCUGGGAACU
This 423-nucleotide ribosomal RNA is filed under the name uncultured bacterium. RNAcentral's name for it is "bacterial SSU rRNA". It matches the Rfam family "Bacterial small subunit ribosomal RNA", at positions 207 to 622 of the family's 1533-position model. The record is from RNAcentral.